AUCAGAUUAAAGACUGAAACAGAAAGUACUUUUUACUGCUGAUGGUGUUUAUUAAAUGUGUUCACUGUACUCUGGAAUUGUGACCUUGUACAUUUAUUUAUUUCACAGACUUUAUCUUCAUUAUUGACAGACAGGCUGAAAGACACCUCUCCACAUGUUAGCAGAGAAGGUAGUUACAUAAAAAACAAACAAAGAAACUGUCAUACAUCUGUCACUUUGUUUUAUGUCUUGUAGUCCCACCUAUGGAAUGAGCAGAUAAGAAAGGAAUGUGGUUGCUAAGGAGUUGUUGCUAUGGACACUGCUGUCAUACAGGUGCAGGGUGUGGGCUGUAGAAAACAGGAUGACAUGGAAAUACAGGUUAGUUUGGUUUGUGACUGUGCGGUACAAACACACACAGAUUACACGCAGAUUUUACUUUUUAUUUUUCUCCUUAUUUUUGUAACUUUUACUGGUUUUUCAUCAAAUUUAUCCUGGUAGCCUUUGAUUUACAGGAAAGCAGACAGGUAUACCAAAGCUACACUUUCUAGAUUUUAGUGGAUUUUAUUUUUUUGUUUUUUUAUCAUGAUGGUCAGACGUCUCUUUGAGGAUUUUGGAGAUCUCUUCAGAACAACAGUAACAGUAAGUGCUGACACCUUUCAGUUUUUUAGCUCAACAAACUGACACUGUACAGGAAGUGCUGCAGCACACACACACAAACGUCCUGCAGACUAUUUGCUGCUGCUCGUCUUUUCCAUGUUUUCUCUGUUUCUGCUGCUUCUUUGUCCUCACUGUAAACAGAUGUACUGAGAGACUCCUGCACUGAUGUUUCAUAGGAAAGUCCAAACAGCCUCACUGGUUCUCCAUAAAGAACAAAGAUUUGCUCUCUGUGGCUCCAACACAACUUAAAGACAAUCAAAGCUCCUCACUCCACCAGGGCGCUGUUUGGCACUUUCUGAUACUGUACUGCGGCAGUCAUACAGACAACUGGACGGUCCAAAAGUUGGCCUACCUAUUACUGGCUGAGGUUUUAGUAGAGUUGUGGUAACGCAACCAACUGAUCAGUUGGUUGCGUUACCAGAAAAAUAGAUCAUUAAUUUUAAUCUCCCCAAUCAAUGAUAAUGUUAUGUUGGAAUGUUGUUAAAGAGGGUCAAAAAUGUUUCAACCCAGUUUGUUUUGCAG
Molecule: long non-coding RNA, 1158 nt
Organism: Oreochromis aureus
Lineage: Eukaryota; Metazoa; Chordata; Actinopteri; Cichliformes; Cichlidae
Source: Ensembl